UACGAAGGGUGCAAGCGUUACUCGGAAUUACUGGGCGUAAAGCGUGCGUAGGUGGUUUGUUAAGUCUGAUGUGAAAGCCCUGGGCUCAACCUGGGAAUUGCAUUGGGUACUGGCAGGCUAGAGUGCGGUAGAGGGUAGUGGAAUUCCCGGUGUAGCAGUGAAAUGCGUAGAUAUGUGGAGGAACAUCGAUGGCGAAGGCAGCCUCCUGGGAUAACACUGACGCUCAUGCACGAAAGCGUGGGGAGCAAACAGG
Molecule: ribosomal RNA, 253 nt
Filed under: uncultured bacterium
Lineage: Bacteria
Description: partial 16S ribosomal RNA
Rfam family: Bacterial small subunit ribosomal RNA
Source: RNAcentral